Long non-coding RNA from Myzus persicae (green peach aphid), 733 nucleotides. RefSeq lists it as uncharacterized. The transcript is spliced from 2 exons. The record is from RefSeq and is a predicted model, not a curated record. Lineage: Eukaryota; Metazoa; Arthropoda; Insecta; Hemiptera; Aphididae.
GAUCACAUCAAUAAUGGCUUUACAGUAUGUUUUUCACAGCAUGGAAAUAACACUGUCUCCUGCUGUGGAAAGUGACGUCAGCCGAGCAACACUAAAAUCGGGAAAUUAUUUGCAUUAGGAGCUGAGUGAGCACAUCUGGUUAUUCUUAUUCCUGUCAUGACGGCGGCUGUAGAUAACGAUUACUUAUAUUAGUUUACUAAAGAUAGUUCUAUCUUAAGUCGUGACCAUAUUGCCUAGGUACUGUAUGAACUGAAUAAUUGAUUAAUGAAAUAAUUGACAUACUUGUCCGCGGUACCUACAAUCUACAUGUUUGAUUUCAAACAUAUCAAGCAGUCUACAUUUAAAUCAAUCCUAAUUUAAACAAAAAAAGAAAAGAUACAAGCAAAGUACACUUAGUCGGGUUUACACUACGUCGCUAGUAUACCGUCUACCUGGGUUCCACUAGACCGCAGUGCAGAUCUGAAAUGGAAUCUGAAAGAGAGCCUGUCCAAGAAUCCAAUUUUUUUAGUGCCCCCAAGGUAAAUAAUAAUUGGGCUUUUAAUCUCUGUUCAAGAAAAAAAUUCUGGUGUUCUGAAAUGAAAAUGUUGUUUUGAAGAAACGCCAAAUUGGAUACGGGUCGUGACUGCCCAAUCAACAUUCUGGUGGUGAUGGCCUUUAAGUUGCUCGAAAGACAAAAAAAAAAUAAAAUAUAAAUUUAUAUAGUUAAAAAUUAUUGUUCCUCUGAAUAUAAAAC